This 395-nucleotide ribosomal RNA is filed under the name Metacrangonyx dominicanus. RNAcentral describes it as "partial 16S ribosomal RNA". The record is from RNAcentral. Lineage: Eukaryota; Metazoa; Arthropoda; Malacostraca; Amphipoda; Metacrangonyctidae.
UAGCAUAAUAAAUUGUUUUUUAAUUGAAAACUGGAAUGAAGGGUCUAACAAUUUUAAAAUUUAUUUGACUUAGAAAAUGAAUUUUUACUAUAAGUAAAAAUACUUAUAUUUUGUAGAGGGACGAUAAGACCCUAGAAGCUUUUAUUUAUUUAAUUAUUGAUUAAUUAUAUUUACAAGCUGUAAUUGAUAAAAUUUUGAUUGGGGAAAUAAAAAUUUUGAAAAUAAUUUUAUUUUUUAAUUAAAUAUUAUUUUAAGAUCUUUUAUAUAAAAAAGGGAGGAAAAAGUUACUCUAGGGAUAACAGCGUAAUAAUUUUGGUUAGACCUUAUAUAUAAAAUUGAUUACGACCUCGAUGUUGAAUUAAAAAUUCUUUAUAAAGUAGAAAUUAUAACAGAAG